Molecule: long non-coding RNA, 417 nt
Filed under: Sorghum bicolor (sorghum)
Lineage: Eukaryota; Viridiplantae; Streptophyta; Magnoliopsida; Poales; Poaceae
Description: long non-coding RNA (SBIC_LNC011978)
Source: RNAcentral
AGGCGGCCACAGGCGGUGGCAGCGCUGCUGCCCUGCAGCGUGCUGGGCACGGGAGAGGGCCGCAAAGGGGGCACCGGAUGGCAGCACGACCAUGGGGGUGAGGUGCGGGGUUGGGCGCAGGGGAAACCGAGCGGCGCCGUGCGCCAGAGGCGAAGGAGAGGGCCGGCCAUGGAUGCUGCUCGUCGGAGAAGACAAAUAAAUAUCAGGGACACAACGAACGAGUAUGAAUUCGUGAAACAAAUGGCGUGCCGGUGUAGAGGACGACGAGACAAACCUCAGAGUGGUGACGGUUUUCGCAGAGGAUGCCGGAGAUGGUCGGAGAACCUCGCCGAAGCUUCGCCGGAAAAGUUCGCCGGAAACGAGAUCCGAAACUUCGGCGAUCGAUCUACGGGGCUACGAGCGGCGGCUCGAAAAAAG